CUUGAACAAGGUCGUUUUGCCGUGCUGCAAAGUCCAACAAGAUUAUCAGCAAAAGCCUUAUCUGAAAUCCUCCCGUGUCAAACAGAAUAUUUCCACUGGCUGGAUGUAAUAGUGAAUGCAGAUCUGGGAUCUAGUCUCAAUCCAAAUCAGAGUGCAGCAAUCAACCACUCAACUCCAGAACUCUCCCUGGUGACACUCACGGGAUUUCAAACUGCAACCUCACAUUGGAAAUUUCUGCAUCCAAUUACCACUUAUCAGAGGCCACCAAUCUCUUAAACUUUAAUGGUUAAAGAAAACUCAAGUGCUUGGUUUACAAAGGCAAUAAACACCUUAAUGCUUUCAUCUUUGUUUUCUCUAGGAAAUUAUUUAAGAAGAAAACCCUUGAACAGUGAUCUCAGCAUUCAUACAGGAGUGAACUUCAGAUACAGUAAUUGCAUAGCUGUGAGCUAUGACGACUUUCCCAUGGGGGAGAAAUGACCUGGUAAUUCAAGAAUGACAAAGUCAAAAGUAAGGGGAUUUUGGAUCAAAUUUAGUGCCAAUGAAGCAUCAAAUUGACUGCACAGAACCAACUGUGGUGGUGGUGAGCUGUCCAAAGGUGCUGAAGGAGCUGACUUGUGUCACCAGGGAACUGCUCCCCAUCAGUGUCCAGAGCUGGAAGUCUGGAGACUGGAAGAGUCAAGUCUUAAAAGGUACAAAUAAAGAUGCAGAAACUUGAGAUCAUUCAGUCACCUCAUUCAGGACCACUCUUGCCAAAGUACUGCACAAAAUAAACUUUAGGCAAGCAACUCUUGCUUGCAGUUGGGAACAAUCCACAUUAUACAAGUACAGUGACAAAGGGUCAGCGUAACUCCACAUCUCUGCUGGCUUCAGAACACACUGACAUCAGCUGUGACACAACCUGGGACUCUCCACAAGAGCUAAAACACUCAUUUCUCUUAGACAAUCUGGAAUAAAGCAGUAGUUUCAAAGUGUAAAACUUCCUCGAAGCCCCGCAUACAAACACCAUCUGCUCUUUUGUGAAAGGUAUAGCAUUUGAAAUAACAUUCUUCUCUCUCCCUCUUAGUACAUUCCAUCAAGAAGAGAAAACUUUAUUUAUAUAAAGAGCCUGCAAAAUGAAGUUCCAUAAAAACAGGAACAUAUGGCCAAAUAAUUCUGAAUAGCACUUAGCAUAUUCAUCCGUAAAAUAAGAACCAUAAUGGGUAGAUAAAUACACCCAGGUCUACUUGGAAAUUGUCAGUAUACACACGGUUUUCUGCAAAUAAUUAAUUUUUUAAAAAAAAUUCUCACCCAUCACUCUACACAGAUACUUCACAUUACAGUUUUACUAAAGUUAACCUUUUUAAACCACAAACUUGGCCCAUGAUACCUUGUAUCACACAUAUUAACACCCUAAGUGCAUAAAGAAAGAAAGAAAAAAAUCUUAUCUUUUAUGAAAGUUAAUUUUUUACCACCAUUGCAAAGAUAAAGCUUGAAACAAAUUUAGGUAAUCUCUAACAUGAAUGGAAAUAUAAAGCAGA
Parus major (Great Tit) is the source of this 1517-nucleotide long non-coding RNA. RefSeq lists it as uncharacterized. NCBI's taxonomy places the organism in Eukaryota, Metazoa, Chordata, Aves, Passeriformes, Paridae. The record is from RefSeq and is a predicted model, not a curated record. The transcript has 3 exons.